UNUUACCAGAAAGGGACGGCUAANUACGUGCCAGCAGCCGCGGUAAUACGUAGGUCCCGAGCGUUGUCCGGAUUUAUUGGGCGUAAAGCGAGCGCAGGCGGUUAGAUAAGUNUGAAGUUAAAGGCUGUGGCUUAACCAUAGUACGCUUUGGAAACUGUUUAACUUGAGUGCAGAAGGGGAGAGUGGAAUUCCAUGUGUAGCGGUGAAAUGCGUAGAUAUAUGGAGGAACACCGGUGGCGAAAGCGGCUCUNUGAUCUGUAACUGACGCUGAGGCUCGAAAGCGUGGGGAGCGAACAGGAUUAGAUACCCUGGUAGUCCACGCCGUAAACGAUGAGUGCUAGGUGUUAGGCCCAUUCCGGGGCUUAGUGCCGCAGCUAACGCAUUAAGCACUCCGCCUGGGGAGUACGACCGCAAGGUUGAAACUCAAAGGAAUUGACGGGGGCCCGCACAAGCGGUGGAGCAUGUGGUUUAAUUCGAAGCAACGCGAAGAACCUUACCAGGUCUUGACAUCCCGAUGCCCGCUCUAGAGAUAGAGUUUUACUUCGGUACAUCGGUGACAGGUGGUGCAUGGUUGUCGUCAGCUCGUGUCGUGAGAUGUUGGGUUAAGUCCCGCAACGAGCGCAACCCUUAUUGUUAGUUGCCAUCAUUCAGUUGGGCACUCUAGCGAGACUGCCGGUAAUAAACCGGAGGAAGGUGGGGAUGACGUCAAAUCAUCAUGCCCCUUAUGACCUGGGCUACACACGUGCUACAAUGGCUGGUACAACGAGUCGCAAGUCGGUGACGGCAAGCUAAUCUCUUAAAGCCAGUCUCAGUUCGGAUUGUAGGCUGCAACUCGCCUACAUGAAGUCGGAAUCGCUAGUAAUCGCGGAUCAGCACGCCGCGGUGAAUACGUUCCCGGGCCUUGUACACACCGCCCGUCACACCACGAGAGUUUGUAACGCCCGAAGUCGGUGAGGUAACC
This 961-nucleotide ribosomal RNA is filed under the name uncultured bacterium. RNAcentral's name for it is "bacterial SSU rRNA". It matches the Rfam family "Bacterial small subunit ribosomal RNA", at positions 478 to 1440 of the family's 1533-position model. The record is from RNAcentral.